This 445-nucleotide ribosomal RNA is filed under the name uncultured Alphaproteobacteria bacterium. RNAcentral describes it as "bacterial SSU rRNA". It matches the Rfam family "Bacterial small subunit ribosomal RNA", at positions 29 to 505 of the family's 1533-position model. Lineage: Bacteria; Pseudomonadati; Pseudomonadota; Alphaproteobacteria. The record is from RNAcentral.
AACGAACGCUGGCGGCAGGCUUAACACAUGCAAGUCGAACGAGCACGACCUAGCUUGCUAGGUACGGCUAGUGGCAGACGGGUGAGUAACACGUGGGAACCUUCCCUUUAGUCAGGAAUAGCUCCGGGAAACUGGAAUUAAUACCUGAUAUUCCCUCCGGGGGAAAGAUUUAUCGCUAAAGGAUGGGCCCGCGCUAGAUUAGCUUGUUGGUGAGGUAAUGGCUCACCAAGGCUCCGAUCUAUAGCUGGUCUGAGAGGACGAUCAGCCACACUGGAACUGAGACACGGUCCAGACUCCUACGGGAGGCAGCAGUGGGGAAUAUUGGACAAUGGGCGAAAGCCUGAUCCAGCCAUGCCGCGUGAGUGAUGAAGGCCUUCGGGUUGUAAAACUCUUUUAGCAGGGAAGAUAAUGACGGUACCUGCAGAAAAAGCCCCGGCUAACUUCG